AAUGUAACAGGGUUGGUUAUGUUUCCACUUGCCUCUAAAGAAAUGUAUAUUUAAUGUUCAAGCAUUCUUAUUGGUUAGUUCAACUCUGAUGACAAUAAGGUGUGUUGUGAUUGGCCCCGUUUGCAGAUGGGGGGAGAUCGCGAACGUCAGGUCUCCCCAGUAUGAAAAUGUGAUGCAAGGGAUUUUGUCAUCGACAGCCAUCAACACUGUUAAGCCCUGCACAACUAACGUGCUGUUUCCCAUUUAACAACAGAAAUAAAUGAUGCUCAACUGGGA
This is a long non-coding RNA of Salvelinus fontinalis (brook trout), 276 nucleotides long. RefSeq lists it as uncharacterized. The record is from RefSeq and is a predicted model, not a curated record. The transcript is spliced from 2 exons. Lineage: Eukaryota; Metazoa; Chordata; Actinopteri; Salmoniformes; Salmonidae.